This 419-nucleotide unclassified non-coding RNA is filed under the name soil metagenome. RNAcentral's name for it is "partial contains 5.8S ribosomal RNA, internal transcribed spacer 2, and large subunit ribosomal RNA". The stretch from base 1 to 120 matches the Rfam family "5.8S ribosomal RNA", at positions 35 to 154 of the family's 154-position model. The record is from RNAcentral.
GAUGAAGAACGCAGCGAAAUGCGAUAAGUAAUGUGAAUUGCAGAAUUCAGUGAAUCAUCGAAUCUUUGAACGCACCUUGCGCUCCUUGGUAUUCCAAAGAGCAUGCCUGUUUGAGUAUCAUUAAAUUAUCAACUGUACCAAUUUGGUUGCAGAUUGGAUGUGGGAGAUUUUGCAGGCUUUUGAUUUCUCUUUGAGAAAACGGUCAGCUCUCCUGAAAUAUAUUAGCAGUGCCUUUGUUGGUUCAUUAGGUGUGAUAAUUUAUCUACAUCUUCACAUGGUACCUUCAUUUGUGUAAAGGUCAUAUUGCUUCUAAUUGUCUUUGGACAUAAAAAAAAAAAAAACAUAUAAUUGUAUGGAAAACUUGAUCUCAAAUCAGGCAGGACUACUUGCUGAACUUAAGCAUAUCAAUAAGCGGAGGA